AACGUAGGAGGCGAGCGUUAUCCGGAUUUACUGGGUGUAAAGCGCGUGCAGGCGGUCGGUUAAGUUGGAUGUGAAAGCUCCUGGCUCAACUGGGAGAGGUCGUUCAAAACUGGCUGACUAGAGGAUGGUAGGGGAAGGUGGAAUUCCGGGUGUAGUGGUGAAAUGCGUAGAUAUCCGGAGGAACACCAGUGGCGAAGGCGGCCUUCUAGACCAUCUCUGACGCUCAGACGCGAAAGCUAGGGUAGCAAACGGG
Molecule: ribosomal RNA, 253 nt
Filed under: uncultured bacterium
Lineage: Bacteria
Description: partial 16S ribosomal RNA
Rfam family: Bacterial small subunit ribosomal RNA
Source: RNAcentral